UCUCUCUCUAAUGUGUACAUGUGUGUGUGUAUAUAUGUAUAUAGUCUAUCAGCAUCUAAAAUAUUUGUGUUUUAUAUAAUUUUCUUUAUUACUGCUACCUUUUCUGAACAAAAUACUACUUUACGCACACGUUAUCGUUGCAUCUUAUCUGCCGCAUCUUCGGCAUCUUUCAUAUUUAUUUUAGGCAUAAUUCGAUAUGUAUCUGAUAAAUCUUUAUUAGAACUCGUUUAUUCGUACGAAUAUUAAUCAAAAAUGGUAGAGAGAAAGAACAUUAAUUCUAAUAGUCCCACAUAAUUUGAAAUCAAGUAGGCCCUAUUCGUAUUAAUGGCAUAUUCUUGCCACCGUCAGCAAUAUCUCGCUAGAAAAAGAAAAAAAAAAAUUGUUGCUCUAUCUAAUAAUUUAAUUAAACCUUGUUAUCAUUCAAUAUCUGACACAGAAAGAAAGAUUUUUGUUACCUUUACAUCUUAAAAAUAGAGUUAAACAGGUAACAAAGUGCGGACUGAAAGUACAGUUAAAGAAAUAAACUUCCAAGAUUUGUUAAUAUAUUUAAGCGUAAUUAUCUUUCAGAAAUUAGCUAUUUUAAUGCUUAACUUUAAACGUGUGCAGUUCAUUUUUCUCAAAAAAAAAAAUUCGAAAUGCCUAAACUGGAGCCGUCCGAUGCUCACACCAGAUAACCAUACCGAUGUAAGAUGAUAAUCGUAAGCUUAAAACAAUAUUUAUCGAUAAAGAAUCUGAUAUAGCUAUAGAUAUAUCGUUUCAGGAAGAAGAUACAGAUAGAUAAGACUCAUCUGCAGAUGAGAUUUAUCGAGCGCUGGGAUCCUGUCUAAAUAAACAGGUCGUUCAUUAAGAGUUGGGAGACGUAAGUCCAAAAGCGAGGACGAACGUUCGUUGUAGUAACAGGAAUUCGCGCCCUAUUACAGCCAUUUGAUUCAACUAAAUUAAAAGUUCUGCUCACGAAAAGAAGCUGUCGGGUUGAAUUAUGGGCAGCAGACACGUGAUGUCGGUGCAGGAAUAAAAUCAAAUGAAGUCUAUAGUCUGCUCCGGCGAUAAAUCACUUGACCUGGUCAAUUCUAACACAGAUUAUGUCGCAAAAAUGAGAAAUUCUUAAUUGUGACUUACUAUUUUUUUAUUUUAUUGUAUUCGGAAAUGUUUAUAGUAAUGUUUAGGACGAUCUCCACGUAAAAAUUUUUUUUUUUUUUUUUCGUUUUUAAGAAACUUGUAACGAUUAGAAAAGAUGGUUAACGUGUAAAAACUUUUUCCUUCUCUUUAAUUAUUUUUAUUAAAAACAUGGACAUCUCGAGAUCAGAGACGAGAUUGAAUUACCGAAAAUCUGAUUUGGAACUAAGUGAUUAAUUACUCCUUAAGAAUAAUAUAUUCUAGACAAGAGGAAAAGUCGAUUCUGGGUCAAAUUUAAAUUUCUUUUCAGUAGCAAGAUAACAUGUAACAUUGUAUACACGUAUCUGUUUUAACCGUAAUUUCGAU
RNAcentral lists this long non-coding RNA (1482 nucleotides) under Androctonus crassicauda. Lineage: Eukaryota; Metazoa; Arthropoda; Arachnida; Scorpiones; Buthidae. The record is from RNAcentral.